RNAcentral lists this ribosomal RNA (468 nucleotides) under uncultured bacterium. RNAcentral's name for it is "partial 16S ribosomal RNA". It matches the Rfam family "Bacterial small subunit ribosomal RNA", at positions 28 to 507 of the family's 1533-position model. The record is from RNAcentral.
GACGAACGCUGGCGGCGUGCUUAACACAUGCAAGUCGAACGGAAAGGCCCUGCUUUUGUGGGGUGCUCGAGUGGCGAACGGGUGAGUAACACGUGAGUAACCUGCCCUUGACUUUGGGAUAACUUCAGGAAACUGGGGCUAAUACCCGAUAGGAGCUCCUGCUGCAUGGUGGGGGUUGGAAAGUUUCGGCGGUUGGGGCUGGACUCGCGGCUUAUCAGCUUGUUGGUGAGGUAGUGGCUUACCAAGGCUUUGACGGGUAGCCGGCCUGAGAGGGUGACCGGCCACAUUGGGACUGAGAUACGGCCCAGACUCCUACGGGAGGCAGCAGUGGGGAAUAUUGCACAAUGGGCGGAAGCCUGAUGCAGCAACGCCGCGUGCGGGAUGACGGCCUUCGGGUUGUAAACCGCUUUCGCCUGUGACGAAGCGUGAGUGACGGUAAUGGGUAAAGAAGCACCGGCUAACUACGUG